This 515-nucleotide ribosomal RNA is filed under the name uncultured bacterium. RNAcentral's name for it is "bacterial SSU rRNA". It matches the Rfam family "Bacterial small subunit ribosomal RNA", at positions 774 to 1284 of the family's 1533-position model. The record is from RNAcentral.
AGUAAAUAGAUACCCUGGUAGUCCACACGGUAAACGAUGUAUGCUAGGUGUAGGAGGUAUCGACCCCUUCUGUGCCGGAGUCAAACACAAUAAGCAUUCCGCCUGGGGAGUACGGUCGCAAGAUUAAAACUCAAAGGAAUUGACGGGGGCCCGCACAAGCAGCGGAGCAUGUGGUUUAAUUCGAAGCAACGCGAAGAACCUUACCAGGUCUUGACAUCCAGUUAAAGCUUGUGAAAGCAAGUGUCCCUUCGGGGGAACUGAGACAGGUGGUGCAUGGUUGUCGUCAGCUCGUGUCGUGAGAUGUUGGGUUAAGUCCCGCAACGAGCGCAACCCUUGUGAAUAGUUACUAACGCGUAGAGGCGAGGACUCUAUUGAGACUGCCGUGGACAACACGGAGGAAGGUGGGGUACGACGUCAAAUCAUCAUGCCCCGUUAUGAUCUGGGCUACACACGUGCUACAAUGGCCGACACAGAGAGGUGCAAAGUCGUGAGAUGGAGCAGAUCUCAAAAAAACG